Molecule: ribosomal RNA, 2923 nt
Filed under: Escherichia coli
Lineage: Bacteria; Pseudomonadati; Pseudomonadota; Gammaproteobacteria; Enterobacterales; Enterobacteriaceae
Description: 23S ribosomal RNA
Rfam family: Bacterial large subunit ribosomal RNA
Source: RNAcentral
GGGUUGUGAGGUUAAGCGACUAAGCGUACACGGUGGAUGCCCUGGCAGUCAGAGGCGAUGAAGGACGUGCUAAUCUGCGAUAAGCGUCGGUGAGGUGAUAUGAACCGUUAUAACCGGCGAUUUCCGAAUGGGGAAACCCAGUGUGUUUCGACACACUAUCAUUAACUGAAUCCAUAGGUUAAUGAGGCGAACCGGGGGAACUGAAACAUCUAAGUACCCCGAGGAAAAGAAAUCAACCGAGAUUCCCCCAGUAGCGGCGAGCGAACGGGGAGGAGCCCAGAGCCUGAAUCAGUGUGUGUGUUAGUGGAAGCGUCUGGAAAGGCGCGCGAUACAGGGUGACAGCCCCGUACACAAAAAUGCACAUGCUGUGAGCUCGAUGAGUAGGGCGGGACACGUGGUAUCCUGUCUGAAUAUGGGGGGACCAUCCUCCAAGGCUAAAUACUCCUGACUGACCGAUAGUGAACCAGUACCGUGAGGGAAAGGCGAAAAGAACCCCGGCGAGGGGAGUGAAAAAGAACCUGAAACCGUGUACGUACAAGCAGUGGGAGCCUCUUAAUGGGGUGACUGCGUACCUUUUGUAUAAUGGGUCAGCGACUUAUAUUCUGUAGCAAGGUUAACCGAAUAGGGGAGCCGAAGGGAAACCGAGUCUUAACUGGGCGUUAAGUUGCAGGGUAUAGACCCGAAACCCGGUGAUCUAGCCAUGGGCAGGUUGAAGGUUGGGUAACACUAACUGGAGGACCGAACCGACUAAUGUUGAAAAAUUAGCGGAUGACUUGUGGCUGGGGGUGAAAGGCCAAUCAAACCGGGAGAUAGCUGGUUCUCCCCGAAAGCUAUUUAGGUAGCGCCUCGUGAAUUCAUCUCCGGGGUAGAGCACUGUUUCGGCAAGGGGGUCAUCCCGACUUACCAACCCGAUGCAAACUGCGAAUACCGGAGAAUGUUAUCACGGGAGACACACGGCGGGUGCUAACGUCCGUCGUGAAGAGGGAAACAACCCAGACCGCCAGCUAAGGUCCCAAAGUCAUGGUUAAGUGGGAAACGAUGUGGGAAGGCCCAGACAGCCGGAUGUUGGCUUAGAAGCAGCCAUCAUUUAAAGAAAGCGUAAUAGCUCACUGGUCGAGUCGGCCUGCGCGGAAGAUGUAACGGGGCUAAACCAUGCACCGAAGCUGCGGCAGCGACACUAUGUGUUGUUGGGUAGGGGAGCGUUCUGUAAGCCUGUGAAGGUGUGCUGUGAGGCAUGCUGGAGGUAUCAGAAGUGCGAAUGCUGACAUAAGUAACGAUAAAGCGGGUGAAAAGCCCGCUCGCCGGAAGACCAAGGGUUCCUGUCCAACGUUAAUCGGGGCAGGGUGAGUCGACCCCUAAGGCGAGGCCGAAAGGCGUAGUCGAUGGGAAACAGGUUAAUAUUCCUGUACUUGGUGUUACUGCGAAGGGGGGACGGAGAAGGCUAUGUUGGCCGGGCGACGGUUGUCCCGGUUUAAGCGUGUAGGCUGGUUUUCCAGGCAAAUCCGGAAAACCAAGGCUGAGGCGUGAUGACGAGGCACUACGGUGCUGAAGCGACAAAUGCCCUGCUUCCAGGAAAAGCCUCUAAGCAUCAGGUAACAUCAAAUCGUACCCCAAACCGACACAGGUGGUCAGGUAGAGAAUACCAAGGCGCUUGAGAGAACUCGGGUGAAGGAACUAGGCAAAAUGGUGCCGUAACUUCGGGAGAAGGCACGCUGAUAUGUAGGUGAAGCGACUUGCUCGUGGAGCUGAAAUCAGUCGAAGAUACCAGCUGGCUGCAACUGUUUAUUAAAAACACAGCACUGUGCAAACACGAAAGUGGACGUAUACGGUGUGACGCCUGCCCGGUGCCGGAAGGUUAAUUGAUGGGGUUAGCGGUAACGCGAAGCUCUUGAUCGAAGCCCCGGUAAACGGCGGCCGUAACUAUAACGGUCCUAAGGUAGCGAAAUUCCUUGUCGGGUAAGUUCCGACCUGCACGAAUGGCGUAAUGAUGGCCAGGCUGUCUCCACCCGAGACUCAGUGAAAUUGAACUCGCUGUGAAGAUGCAGUGUACCCGCGGCAAGACGGAAAGACCCCGUGAACCUUUACUAUAGCUUGACACUGAACAUUGAGCCUUGAUGUGUAGGAUAGGUGGGAGGCUUUGAAGUGUGGACGCCAGUCUGCAUGGAGCCGACCUUGAAAUACCACCCUUUAAUGUUUGAUGUUCUAACGUUGGCCCGUAAUCCGGGUUGCGGACAGUGUCUGGUGGGUAGUUUGACUGGGGCGGUCUCCUCCUAAAGAGUAACGGAGGAGCACGAAGGUUGGCUAAUCCUGGUCGGACAUCAGGAGGUUAGUGCAAUGGCAUAAGCCAGCUUGACUGCGAGCGUGACGGCGCGAGCAGGUGCGAAAGCAGGUCAUAGUGAUCCGGUGGUUCUGAAUGGAAGGGCCAUCGCUCAACGGAUAAAAGGUACUCCGGGGAUAACAGGCUGAUACCGCCCAAGAGUUCAUAUCGACGGCGGUGUUUGGCACCUCGAUGUCGGCUCAUCACAUCCUGGGGCUGAAGUAGGUCCCAAGGGUAUGGCUGUUCGCCAUUUAAAGUGGUACGCGAGCUGGGUUUAGAACGUCGUGAGACAGUUCGGUCCCUAUCUGCCGUGGGCGCUGGAGAACUGAGGGGGGCUGCUCCUAGUACGAGAGGACCGGAGUGGACGCAUCACUGGUGUUCGGGUUGUCAUGCCAAUGGCACUGCCCGGUAGCUAAAUGCGGAAGAGAUAAGUGCUGAAAGCAUCUAAGCACGAAACUUGCCCCGAGAUGAGUUCUCCCUGAGACUUAGAGUCUCCUGAAGGAACGUUGAAGACGACGACGUUGAUAGGCCGGGUGUGUAAGCGCAGCGAUGCGUUGAGCUAACCGGUACUAAUGAACCGUGAGGCUUAACCUUACAACGCCGAAG